CUCCUCUUCAGCAACCAUUCCAACCAUACAAAGAAUGUAAAUACAUAUCAAACCAAUCAGGCUAAGGUGCGGAUAAGAAUCAAACAUGAAAUCAAUUAGGCUGAGGUGCAAGUGGAUAUUUUUGCUCUGUUUAAGGAGAUUCAAGCCCUCUACGGUGGUGCAAAUCUACUUGAAGUUCUUCUUGCCAUUGUUUUUAAAGAAAGUGAUCACCUUAAAUUCCCAUACCGAAUCUAGAAUAGAAUUAGAAGAGGGUCACGAAAAAAUUGGUGGGUUGUACUUUGCAGAAGCAAAAGAUGUUUGAGAACAGAAUCCAGAAUGGAUAUAGAUGAAAUUCUAAAGAUGAAGCUUGAAACAAUCAAAGAAGAACCAGAUAUAAGGGAAGAAAAUAGUCACAAAGCAGAGGAAGAAAAAUCAUUCCAAGGCAAAGGUGGGACAAGUUUUUAUUUCUCAAUUGAGUCUUCAAAAAUCUUGUGUGCUAUUCAUGACUAGGUUAGCCUCCAAAGGUCACUUGGGUGGACUUCCUAGGUACUAAAUUAUUUUCAGCAGCUGAAUAUCUUUCAAAUGGAUCGAAGACUGUAUGAAAGAAAACGUGGUCGACCAAUUUCUUGCAUGUAAUCAAUCUGAUUGAUUUUUCCAUCAAAAGUACUAUGUCUAAUCUUCAGUUUUCAAGACUCCCCCUUCUUCCACUCUGUUCCGAGGAGUAACUAGACUGAUUUUUUAGUAUUAGUACUGGUGUUCCUGAGCAUUCUGUAAUUUACAGUUUUCACAAAGAUCUGACUAAACAAGUUGUG
Molecule: long non-coding RNA, 791 nt
Filed under: Olea europaea subsp. europaea
Lineage: Eukaryota; Viridiplantae; Streptophyta; Magnoliopsida; Lamiales; Oleaceae
Source: RNAcentral